This 443-nucleotide ribosomal RNA is filed under the name uncultured bacterium. Its description in RNAcentral is "partial 16S ribosomal RNA". It matches the Rfam family "Bacterial small subunit ribosomal RNA", at positions 338 to 795 of the family's 1533-position model. The record is from RNAcentral.
CCUACGGGAGGCAGCAGUGGGGAAUAUUGGGCAAUGGGCGCAAGCCUGACCCAGCAACGCCGCGUGAAGGAAGAAGGCUUUCGGGUUGUAAACUUCUUUUAUCAGGGACGAAGCAAGUGACGGUACCUGAUGAAUAAGCCACGGCUAACUACGUGCCAGCAGCCGCGGUAAUACGUAGGUGGCAAGAGUUAUACGGAUUUAAGGGGUGGAAAGGGCGAGUAGGGGGGGGUGCAAGUCAGAUGUGAAAACUAUGGGCUCAACCCAUAGCCUGCAUUUGAAACUGUACUUCCUGAGUGCUGGAGAGGCAAUCGGGAUUCCGUGUGUAGCGGUGAAAUGCGGAGAUAUACGGAGGAACAACAGUGGCUAAGGCCGAUUGCUGGACAGUAACUGACGCUGAGGCGCGAAAGCGUGGGGAGCAAACAGGAUUAGAUACCCUAGUAGUC